AUAGCUUUUACGCUGCUCGCGCUCGCUGGACGCGCAUCGGAUUUCAUGAGAUGGACCAAACACGUUGUUUGUGCUGAUCAGCUCUCUGUUCCUGGGAAAGGUUAUGCUGUGUUAAUUAACACAUGGAAGAGAUAUGAUCUUUUGAAGCAGUCAAUUUCCCACUAUUCAUCUUGUGCUGGGCUUGAUUCUAUACAUGUAGUGUGGAGUGAGCCCAAUCCUCCAUCAGAAUCUCUUGUUAGUUAUCUAAAUCACGUUCUACAAUCAAAAUCUAAAGGUGCUAGGCAGGCAGAAUUGAAAUUUGAUAUCAACAAGGAAGACAGU
RNAcentral lists this unclassified non-coding RNA (321 nucleotides) under Hevea brasiliensis (rubber tree). The record is from RNAcentral. Lineage: Eukaryota; Viridiplantae; Streptophyta; Magnoliopsida; Malpighiales; Euphorbiaceae.